UACCGAGGAUUGUUUGUUCACUUUGAUAUUUGAGCACGAGUGAACAAGAAAUCUCGGUGGG
RNAcentral lists this microRNA precursor (61 nucleotides) under Pristionchus pacificus. RNAcentral's name for it is "microRNA ppc-mir-8301 precursor". Lineage: Eukaryota; Metazoa; Nematoda; Chromadorea; Rhabditida; Neodiplogasteridae. The record is from miRBase by way of RNAcentral.